CCUACGGGGGGCAGCAGUGGGGAAUAUUGCACAAUGGGGGAAACCCUGAUGCAGCGACGCCGCGUGAGUGAAGAAGUAUUUCGGUACGUAAAGCUCUAUCAGCAGGGAAGAAAAUGACGGUACCUGACUAAGAAGCCCCGGCUAACUACGUGACAGCAGCCGCGGUAAUACGUAGGGGGCAAGCGUUAUCCGGAUUUACUGGGUGUAAAGGGAGCGUAGACGGCAGCGCAAGUCUGGAGUGAAAUCCCAUGGCUUAAACAUGGAACUGCUUUGGAAACUGUGCAGCUAGAGUGCAGGAGAGGUAAGCGGAAUUCCUAGUGUAGCGGUGAAAUGCGUAGAUAUUAGGAGGAACACCAGUGGCGAAGGCGGCUUACUGGACUGUAACUGACGUUGAGGCUCGAAAGCGUGGGGAGCAAACAGGAUUAGAUACCCGGGUAGUC
RNAcentral lists this ribosomal RNA (440 nucleotides) under uncultured bacterium. RNAcentral's name for it is "partial 16S ribosomal RNA". It matches the Rfam family "Bacterial small subunit ribosomal RNA", at positions 338 to 795 of the family's 1533-position model. The record is from RNAcentral.